This 76-nucleotide transfer RNA is filed under the name Deltaproteobacteria bacterium. Its description in RNAcentral is "tRNA-Thr". It matches the Rfam family "tRNA". From Rfam's summary of the family: Transfer RNA (tRNA) molecules are approximately 80 nucleotides in length. Their secondary structure includes four short double-helical elements and three loops (D, anti-codon, and T loops). Lineage: Bacteria; Pseudomonadati; Myxococcota; Myxococcia. RNAcentral also lists the same sequence under 8 other names. The record is from RNAcentral.
GCCAGAGUAGCUCAGUUGGUAGAGCGCCUCACUUGUAAUGAGGAUGUCGCGGGUUCGACUCCUGUCUCUGGCUCCA